AAUGAACGCUGGCGGCAGGCCUAACACAUGCAAGUCGAGCGAGGACUUCGGUAGUAGCGGCGUACGGGUGAGUAACGCGUGGGAACGUGCCCUUUGCUUCGGAAUAGCUCUGGGAAACUGGGAGUAAUACCGGAUGAGACCUAUGGGGGCAAGAUUUAUCGGCGAAGGAUCGGCCCGCGUUGGAUUAGCUAGUUGGUGAGGUAAUGGACUACCAAGGUGACAAUCCAUAGCUGGUUUGAGAGGAUGAUCAGCCACACUGGGACUGAGACACGGCCCAGACUCCUGCGGGAGGCAGGAGUGGGGAAUCUGAGACAAUGGGGGAAACCCUGAGCUAGCCAUGCCGCGUGAGCGAUGAAGGCCUGAGGGUUGUAAAGCUCUGUCAGCUGGGAAGAUAAUGACGGUACCAGCAGAAGAAGCCCCGGCUAACUCCGUG
RNAcentral lists this ribosomal RNA (433 nucleotides) under uncultured bacterium. RNAcentral's name for it is "partial 16S ribosomal RNA". It matches the Rfam family "Bacterial small subunit ribosomal RNA", at positions 29 to 507 of the family's 1533-position model. The record is from RNAcentral.